RNAcentral lists this ribosomal RNA (328 nucleotides) under uncultured eukaryote. RNAcentral describes it as "partial 18S ribosomal RNA". It matches the Rfam family "Eukaryotic small subunit ribosomal RNA", at positions 1470 to 1796 of the family's 1831-position model. The record is from RNAcentral.
CCCUUAGAUGUUCGGGGCCGCACGCGCGCUACACUGAAGGAAUCAGCGUGCCGUCGUCCUGGCCCGGAAGGGCCGGGCAACCCGUUGAACCUCCUUCGUGCUAGGGAUCGGGGCUUGCAAUUCUUGACCGUGAACGAGGAAUUCCCAGUAAGCGCGAGUCAUCAGCUCGUGUUGAUUACGUCCCUGCCCUUUGUACACACCGCCCGUCGCUACUACUGAUUGGAUGUUUAAGCGAGGUUCUCGAACUGCUAGCGACUUAGCUUCGGUGAGGUCGCAGUGUGGGAAGUGAACCUAGCUUUGGUGUCUAGAGGAAGUAAAAGUCGUAACA